RNAcentral lists this non-coding RNA (22 nucleotides) under Arabidopsis thaliana (thale cress). Lineage: Eukaryota; Viridiplantae; Streptophyta; Magnoliopsida; Brassicales; Brassicaceae. The record is from RNAcentral.
GCAAGAACCACACACAUCAUGC